This 735-nucleotide ribosomal RNA is filed under the name Triticum aestivum (bread wheat). RNAcentral's name for it is "partial small subunit ribosomal RNA". The record is from RNAcentral. Lineage: Eukaryota; Viridiplantae; Streptophyta; Magnoliopsida; Poales; Poaceae.
AUGCGGACAACACAGGAAGAUAUCAAUCCCAAAAUGAGGGCGUUCCUAGUGGACUGGCUGGUGUACGUGGCUUUGACAUUCAGGCUUCCUGCUGACACACUUCACCUUGCAGUUUCAUAUGUCGAUCGCUUCCUCACAGCAAAUGUCAUUAGCCAGGACAAGCUGCAAUUACUUGGUGUGACCGCAUUGAUUGUUGCUGCGAAAUAUGAAGAUGGCAUAUUUGUGCAUGAGGUUCGAAGAUACAGGAACGUUGCUGCCAACACGUACACCAGGCAGCAGGUGGUGAAGAUGGAGUCUGACAUACUGAAAUCUCUUAACUUUGAGAUGGGGAGUCCCACUGCAAGAACUUUUCUACGGAGAUACAUAACUGUUUGCCGCGGACGUGAUCGUGCAAAAGCGAAGAGGCUGGAGUUUCUGUGCAGCUACCUUGCAGAAUUGAGCUUGCUGGACUAUGACUGCAUAAAGUUCAAUCCAUCAGUUGUUGCUGCUGCCUGCCUUUUUUUGGCCAGGUUCACAAUCAGCCCAACUGCCCGUCCUUGGAACCUGACGCUGCAAAGGAACACGAAAUACAAGGUCUCUGAUCUCAAGUCUUGCAUCUUGAUGAUACGCAAAUUGCAGUUGAAUGGAACGUAUCCGGGCCUGAAAGGAGAGGCCAUCAAAGUCAAGUAUAAUGAUCGCGAGGUAAGAUGCGCUUUCCCCAGUUUUUUGGCUUUUGCAUGCGUGCUUUUUUUUUGA